ACGUGUAUUUUAAUUUCCUUCAUACAUUAAAAUCUUAUAACUGUUGUCCCUUUUCAUUCCCAUGAGUAUGGAGUUCACCGCAUUCCAUCCUGACACCUGAACACAACUUCCCAAGGGCCAGGUAUGAUGUGUUCUAUUUGUGAUCAGAUUAAUGUAUAAAUCUAUUUCAUUCGUGAACGCAUUUGUAGGCAAGAUUUAUCAUGGAGGGUAACUACUAGAGGAUCGGAGUAUCGUGUCUUACAUUGAUAGGUCAUGCACCAAACAACCACGCAGGCCGUACUCCAACUCUGAAACUUGAUUCCAUCGGAUUGCGUAAGUUCUAUAGAAGGCAUGGAACAUCUCAUUUUAAUUUUUUUCUUACAGAUGAUUACAACGUGCAUGAAAAUGAGUUAGGAUUUCAUCAUAUUUCGUAUUGCUUUUGCAGACAAACAUUCAUGUCUCUGGUUCACGAUCCGUAAGUGCCUCCAUCUUUCCGAUCUAUCACACUACGUAAACAUUGUGGUCCUCAUGUAGAGGAGAUUGGAGGAAUAUGAUAGAAGAACCGAAGAUAUUUGGGUGAUUUUAAAAAAAUGAGGUUUUCUGUAUGUUGCAUGUAAUUAAAUCGUUGACUGUGACUUUUGCCUUUCAGUGAUAGCGUCUAUAUAAUGAAUGUAGUAUAUUCCCUGUUUUUGGACACAUGUUAACCAAUAUUGUCAGGGCUGUGAUCCACCCAAUGUAGCCAAUGGCUGCUGGUCGGUGUGGUGGACCCGACGAGGAUGUAUAGCUUCCAUCCAUGCCAUCAUUUA
This is a long non-coding RNA of Magnolia sinica, 785 nucleotides long. RefSeq lists it as uncharacterized. The record is from RefSeq and is a predicted model, not a curated record. Lineage: Eukaryota; Viridiplantae; Streptophyta; Magnoliopsida; Magnoliales; Magnoliaceae. The transcript is spliced from 2 exons.